Long non-coding RNA from Onychostoma macrolepis, 237 nucleotides. RefSeq lists it as uncharacterized. The record is from RefSeq and is a predicted model, not a curated record. Lineage: Eukaryota; Metazoa; Chordata; Actinopteri; Cypriniformes; Cyprinidae. The transcript has 3 exons.
CAUACAUUACAUCCAACACCUCAAUCGCUUAAUCGGUGACAUCUCGUCUUCCCUGCACCGGAGUCGACGGACAGCUCUCAGCUCACUCAGGGCGGGUCAAAGCCCAACACAAAGAACCUGAUUACUGAGGAGAGAGACAGACAGACUCCCUACCUCUGCCUCUCUAAAGAUGCCUGAUUUCAUGAAUAUAAAUCAUCUCCUCUGAGAUCGCCAUGGCUCAGAUUAAUCAAGACUUCC